Molecule: long non-coding RNA, 1610 nt
Organism: Equus caballus (horse)
Lineage: Eukaryota; Metazoa; Chordata; Mammalia; Perissodactyla; Equidae
Source: Ensembl
ACAAGCUUUAGAGGUGGGGAAGCAAAACAAGAACAUAUGGAAAGGGUAUUUUGGGGUUUGGCACAGACAUUCUCUAAGAAAUCUCAAAGCAUCUAUGUCUCAGAGUGUAUUCGCAGAGUGGGGUCCAGAACCAUGGAAACCAAGAGUUUCUCUGUUGAUGGAGGUGUGGCUAUCCAACGCCUUCAGAGGGGUUUAGCCUGGGAAGUUUCAGCCUCCUGUUCCUUGCAGAUGGCCUCCUGGAAAUUCCCCAAUCAGCUGGGCUUUUUCUCACUGAACUCGAUGGAGCGGGCACUCCCGGCUCCAGAAGAAAGAUGGUGUCCUUUGAAGUGACGCCAGGAUGUAUAGUUAUGAUUUCUCCUGGGCUUAUACCAGGUUGUGAAUAAUUUAGGAUUGCAUUUCAACCCCUACUCUCCUUUGACUAUUCAGCAAAUCUCUGCUUUUCCUCCUCUUUCUGCCUUUGAUUGCCCUGGAAAUGUUUAAUAAAGCCUCUGGCAUUGAGUUUGUGCCUAAGUGUUCGAGAAACACUACUGAAAUGACCCCCACACAUGCAUGUGCAUUGACUGGAACUAGCAUAAAUAUUGUCUUGAAGUCGUGUCCGGGAAGCGUGAUGGACUUAUUGUGGGUAUCCACGUUCUGCAGGGACAUUUAUAGCAACAGCGAAAAGGCCAGAUAAUGGCCCCAUUUAGAACAGCCAUUUAGUCCCAUAAAUACAUUUCCUCAAAUAAAUCUGCUGAUUACCCUUGCACGGACUUGACAGCUCAGCCAAGCGGUUUGCCCUAUAUGCUGCAGAAGGCUCCGCCGUGUGUCCGUCCACGUCAGGGACCUCAGAUGAAGAAAUACAAUCGGCGGGCCCUUUUUGGAAAUGAUGGCACAAAAUGAGAAAAGAAAUGGGGAGAAAAUCUCGCAGGAGCCAGCAUUUAUUAUCUAGCCAGCUGCCCCUACGAAAUCAUAACUACGCUUCAGUAAAAAUGGAUCACAAUUCAAGACCCAGACAAGUGUUACUACAAAUAUUUUUGAGAUGACAAAAGAAAAAAAACAAGUUUUCUUUCAGAUAUACUAUAAAGAUGAGGACGGACAGUGGAAUGCUGGUUUGUUAACCCUUCAGGGGGUCAGCUAGUUUAAAACCUUUCAGGACCCCACCUUGGCUUAUAUUCCUAAAUAAAAUUCCUAAAAAGCUUAAAUUCCUAAGGACGGCGGAAAAGACCCUUCGUGGUUCGGCUGCACCCUCUCUGCCACUGGGAGUCUCCCAUGAUCUGCUCUAACCUUACAGAACCACCAGCCAAGGUCGCUUUUCUCCGGUUUUCUCCUCUCUCCUUUCCCUGGCUUUCUUCACCUAGUGAGAUCUUAUUUGUCAUUAGAAAUUCAGGGCACAGGUCAUUCCUUCUGGAAAGUCUUCCUUGAGUCUCUUCCUCCACCCCAGACUGAUCUGGACGCGGAGAGGAGAGGCUGGAGUUCUGCUGUCACACACACCAGAGCCUAGCACCUUGCUCACUGGAGCCUGCGCCUACAUAUGGCGCCUGGCGGGCAGGCCUGGGAGGAAGUGCAGAGGAGCUGCUCUUCCUCGUGGACAUCUUGCUCCUUUGACUUCUUGCCAAUUUGUUCCUGUCGGG